GGAGAGAUGGCUGAGUGGUCUAAAGCAACAGAUUGCUAAUCUGUCGUACGUUUUUAUUCGUACCGAGGGUUCGAAUCCCUCUCUCUCCU
Molecule: transfer RNA, 89 nt
Filed under: bacterium
Lineage: Bacteria
Also listed under: 1 other name
Description: tRNA-Ser
Rfam family: tRNA
About the family: Transfer RNA (tRNA) molecules are approximately 80 nucleotides in length. Their secondary structure includes four short double-helical elements and three loops (D, anti-codon, and T loops). Further hydrogen bonds mediate the characteristic L-shaped molecular structure. tRNAs have two regions of fundamental functional importance: the anti-codon, which is responsible for specific mRNA codon recognition, and the 3' end, to which the tRNAs corresponding amino acid is attached (by aminoacyl-tRNA synthetases). tRNAs cope with the degeneracy of the genetic code in two manners: having more than one tRNA (with a specific anti-codon) for a particular amino acid; and 'wobble' base-pairing, i.e. permitting non-standard base-pairing at the 3rd anti-codon position.
Source: RNAcentral